UUCACCCUGAAGACGGUUGAGUUCAGGACACAAAGUGUAAAAUCCAGAUGAGCAGAGACCAAGAUUUCUGAUUGAACAAAGAACACUUUAUUGAGUGCUGCCUGGGUGCGGGGAGAAGAGCGGGAUGACCCAGAUGGGAGGCAAGAUCCUCCUGGAGGUCCUGAGGCUCCGGGCCCCCUUAGGUGGGCGGGGCCGUCGGGAACCUAAGAGCACUCUGCGGGGGCCACCUUCUUCUCCACGGUGCUCCCCUCGUGCGUGACCAGGCAGCUGAAGCUGCUGUGAGAUUUCCACUUGUCAGGCGUCAGGCUCAGGUAGCUGGCCGCGUACUUGUUGUUGCUCUGCUUGGAGGGCUUGGUCUCCACGCCCUGGGUGACGGGGCUGCCGUCUGCCUUCCAGGCCACCGUCACACCGCUGGGGUAGAAGUCGCUGAUGAGGCACACCAGGGUGGCCUUGUUGGCGCCGAGCUCCUCAGAGGAGGGCGGGAAGAGUGUGACCGAGGGGGAGGCCUUGGGCUGACCUGUGGGGAUGGAAGGCCAGUGGGUCAAAUGCAGAUGGUUGUUGUGUCAGCACCUACCUGAGUCCUGGUGUGGGGCUUCAGCUGUGUCAUGUCCGCGGCUCGGGCCUCCUGUGGACCUCGUUCCCCGCGUUCAGGGCAGCCAUUGGUAGUUAGCUCCCUCACCUUCUGAGUAAGAAUGUGAGUGCCAGAUUCUCUAGUUUCUGGUCCCUUCCAUGUCCUUAGGCUGUCUGCAUGUCACGUAUCCUUCGUGUCCACCCAGUGUGCUCCCGGUACUGGUGGGGUACAGGGGCCCUGAGAUCCUGUUUCCCUUCUGAACCUGAGUGUCCUUGACCAUUGGUAUCCAUGUGACUACACCCGUGUCACUUACCCGUGAUUUCCUAGAGCUUGCCUCUCUCCGUGACAGGACUCUGUUCUUACCAUGUGAACAGUAGGUUUCCUGUCCCCAGACUGUCUCACACCUUCACAGCAGCCUUCCCUGCCUCCCUACCUAUCCCCCACUAGAGCCCCUGAGGUUGUAAGUGCAAUGAGUGCCUGGAUUCCAGGAGGUGCAGGAGACUGAAUGGAUUUGUAUGAAUGAAUUUUCAUUAUGCAGCUGGGAUUGUGUUUGAUCUGAGGGUGUCCCCUGACCCAUGAAGUUAUCCUAGUGCAUCUGUCUGUCCUUGGAUUUCUGAGUGCUGUGUAGGCAAUGUCCCUGUUCUGCGUUCCUAUUAUCCCCCCUGGCCCAAAUUUCUGCUCAUUGGCUUUUAAGCCUCGGAGAGCUGUGUAGGGAUGGACCCCUGCUACCUGAGUGUCGCGAGGCCGCCUUGGGUGCGUGACAGUCCAUUCUUGGUGUGUGUUCUCUCCCCCUAGGCGGUGGAUGGUCCUACCGCAUUGGGCUCCCUUAUCUGAAGUCCUCACCUUAUUCUUGACCCUGAGCUGUACUUCGCCUUCCUUGUCUCUAAGUCCCCAUGCCUAGUGUCUCCUCCCUGAGCUUCACUCAGCCCGCUGGCUGGGAUCCCCGCCACACGCAGAGAGAGAGCAAGCGCCUAGGCAGGCCCCAGAAUCCUUCCAUAAUCCCAUGGCCCUGCUUACAGCUUAAGUAUCCCUCUUCCUAUCCUUCACCAUGAUUUCCCUCAGAUUUUUUUUCCCUCAGAUUCUUGAAGUCAAAGACCCAGAGUGGGGAGUUACACAUGCUCAAGUCCAGGGGAGAAGUUUCCCUCAUGGGGAGAGAGCUCGACCCCCAGGGAAGCCUGAGUGUAGAUCAGGGGCUGCUUCCCCGAGGCACCGAAUGGACCUCUGACAUGGUGGGAGCAGUGGAGGAAUGAGGGGCAGAGCAAGGCGACCAAAAGAACAGACCCACAGACCUUCAGCCUCAGCCCUCAUCAGGAUUGAAAGGAGACAAACAUUGCCAGAAAUUGUAGUGUGGAGGCGAAAGAGGAGAGAAAGGGGGAGACUCACCGAGGACGGUCAGGUGGGUGCCUCCGCCGAACACACCACACUAUGACACAGCCUCGAGCACAAACCCUCUGUCAGCCCCUCCACCCCUGACCCAGGCCCACGUGCAGCUGCUUGGGAGGCCCAAG
RNAcentral lists this long non-coding RNA (2079 nucleotides) under Canis lupus familiaris (dog). RNAcentral describes it as "lncRNA (ENSCAFG00000057814.1)". The record is from RNAcentral. Lineage: Eukaryota; Metazoa; Chordata; Mammalia; Carnivora; Canidae.